AGUGAACGCUGCCGGUAGGCCUAACACAUGCAAGUCGAACGGCAGCACAGUAAGAGCUUGCUCUUACGGGUGGCGAGUGGCGGACGGGUGAGGAAUACAUCGGAAUCUACUUUUUCGUGGGGGAUAACGUAGGGAAACUUACGCUAAUACCGCCUACGACCUACGGGUGAAAGCCGGGGAUCUUCGGACCUUGCGCGAUUGAAUGAGCCGAUGUCGGAUUAGCUAGUUGGCGGGGUAAAGGCCCACCAAGGCGACGAUCCGUAGCUGGUCUGAGAGGAUGAUCAGCCACACUGGAACUGAGACACGGUCCAGACUCCUACGGGAGGCAGCAGUGGGGAAUAUUGGACAAUGGGCGCAAGCCUGAUCCAGCCAUACCGCGUGGGUGAAGAAGGCCUUCGGGUUGUAAAGCCCUUUUGUUGGGAAAGAAAAGCAGCAGGUUAAUACCCCGCUGUUCUGACGGUACCCAAAGAAUAAGCACCGGCUAACUUCGUG
This 492-nucleotide ribosomal RNA is filed under the name uncultured bacterium. RNAcentral's name for it is "partial 16S ribosomal RNA". It matches the Rfam family "Bacterial small subunit ribosomal RNA", at positions 29 to 507 of the family's 1533-position model. The record is from RNAcentral.